This 119-nucleotide ribosomal RNA is filed under the name Poecilia reticulata (guppy). Lineage: Eukaryota; Metazoa; Chordata; Actinopteri; Cyprinodontiformes; Poeciliidae. The record is from RNAcentral.
AACUAAAGCCAAAUUCCACUGACUAAACCUGUUCUCGUCCGAUCACAGAAGUAAAGCGGUGUCAGGCAUGGUCAGUACUUGGAUGGGAAACCACCUUGGAUUUCCAGGUGCUGUAGGUU